Molecule: ribosomal RNA, 504 nt
Filed under: uncultured bacterium
Lineage: Bacteria
Description: partial 16S ribosomal RNA
Rfam family: Bacterial small subunit ribosomal RNA
Source: RNAcentral
GAUAAACGCUAGCGGCAGGCUUAACACAUGCAAGUCGAGGGGCAGCAUAGAUUGUAGCAAUACAAUUGGUGGCGACCGGCGCACGGGUGCGUAACGCGUAUGCAACCUACCCGUCACAGGGGGAUAAUCCGGAGAAAUCUGGUCUAAUACCCCAUAACAUAUGGAUCGGCAUCGGUUCAUGUUGAAAUUUUCGGAGGUGACGGAUGGGCAUGCGUAGCAUUAGCUCGUUGGUGAGGUAACGGCUCACCAAGGCGACGAUGCUUAGGGGGACUGAGAGGUUUUCCCCCCACACUGGUACUGAGACACGGACCAGACUCCUACGGGAAGCAGCAGUGAGGAAUAUUGGUCAAUGGGCGCAAGCCUGAACCAGCCAUGCCGCGUGCAGGAUGACGGCUCUAUGAGUUGUAAACUGCUUUUGUACGAGGGUAAAGUGGGUUACGUGUAACCUUUUGAAAGUAUCGUACGAAUAAGGAUCGGCUAACUCCGUGCCAGCAGCCGCCGUAA